This 492-nucleotide ribosomal RNA is filed under the name uncultured bacterium. Its description in RNAcentral is "partial 16S ribosomal RNA". It matches the Rfam family "Bacterial small subunit ribosomal RNA", at positions 28 to 507 of the family's 1533-position model. The record is from RNAcentral.
GAUGAACGCUGGCUACAGGCUUAACACAUGCAAGUCGAGGGGAAACGACAUCGAAAGCUUGCUUUUGAUGGGCGUCGACCGGCGCACGGGUGAGUAACGCGUAUCCAACCUGCCCACCACUUGGGGAUAACCUUGCGAAAGUAAGACUAAUACCCACUGCUAUCCCACGAAGACAUCUGAAUGUGAUUAAAGAUUUAUCGGUGAUGGAUGGUGAUGCGUCUGAUUAGCUUGUUGGCGUGGUAACUGCCCACCAAGGCAACGAUCAGUAGGGGUUCUGAGAGGAAGGUCCCCCACAUUGGAACUGAGACACGGUCCAAACACCUACGGGAGGCAGCAGUGAGGAAUAUUGGGCAAUGGGCGAGAGCCUGAACCAGCCAAGUAGCGUGCAGGAAGACGGCCCUAUGGGUUGUAAACUGCUUUUAUAAGGGAAUAAAGUGGGUCACGUGUGACUUUUUGCAUGUACCUUAUGAAUAAGGACCGGCUAAUUCCGUG